GAUGAACGCUGGCGGCGUGCCUAAUACAUGCAAGUCGAGCGAACAGACGAGGAGCUUGCUCCUCUGACGUUAGCGGCGGACGGGUGAGUAACACGUGGAUAACCUACCUAUAAGACUGGGAUAACUUCGGGAAACCGGAGCUAAUACCGGAUAAUAUAUUGAACCGCAUGGUUCAAUAGUGAAAGACGGGUUUGCUGUCACUUCUAGAUGGAUCCGCGCCGCAUUAGCUAGUUGGUAAGGUAACGGCUUACCAAGGCAACGAUGCGUAGCCGACCUGAGAGGGUGAUCGGCCACACUGGAACUGAGACACGGUCCAGACUCCUACGGGAGGCAGCAGUAGGGAAUCUUCCGCAAUGGGCGAAAGCCUGACGGAGCAACGCCGCGUGAGUGAUGAAGGUCUUCGGAUCGUAAAACUCUGUUAUUAGGGAAGAACAAAUGUGUAAGUAACUAUGCACGUCUUGACGGUACCUAAUCAGAAAGCCACGGCUAACUACGUG
This 497-nucleotide ribosomal RNA is filed under the name uncultured bacterium. RNAcentral's name for it is "partial 16S ribosomal RNA". It matches the Rfam family "Bacterial small subunit ribosomal RNA", at positions 28 to 507 of the family's 1533-position model. The record is from RNAcentral.